Molecule: ribosomal RNA, 547 nt
Filed under: uncultured bacterium
Lineage: Bacteria
Description: bacterial SSU rRNA
Rfam family: Bacterial small subunit ribosomal RNA
Source: RNAcentral
UGGGGAAUAUUGCGCAAUGGGGGGAACCCUGACGCAGCCAUGCCGCGUGAAUGAAGAAGGCCUUCGGGUUGUAAAGUUCUUUCGGUAUUGAGGAAGGUUGAUGUGUUAAUAGCACAUCAAAUUGACGUUAAAUACAGAAGAAGCACCGGCUAACUCCGUGCCAGCAGCCGCGGUAAUACGGAGGGUGCGAGCGUUAAUCGGAAUAACUGGGCGUAAAGGGCACGCAGGCGGUUAUUUAAGUGAGGUGUGAAAGCCCUGGGCUUAACCUAGGAAUUGCAUUUCAGACUGGGUAACUAGAGUACUUUAGGGAGGGGUAGAAUUCCACGUGUAGCGGUGAAAUGCGUAGAGAUGUGGAGGAAUACCGAAGGCGAAGGCAGCCCCUUGGGAAUGUACUGACGCUCAUGUGCGAAAGCGUGGGGAGCAAACAGGAUUAGAUACCUUGGUAGUCCACGCUGUAAACGCUGUCGAUUUGGGGGUUGGGGUUUAACUCUGGCGCCCGUAGCUAACGUGAUAAAUCGACCGCCUGGGGAGUACGGCCGCAAGGUUA